RNAcentral lists this ribosomal RNA (372 nucleotides) under Hebeloma sinapizans. RNAcentral's name for it is "partial small subunit ribosomal RNA". Lineage: Eukaryota; Fungi; Basidiomycota; Agaricomycetes; Agaricales; Hymenogastraceae. The record is from RNAcentral.
UUAAUACGAAAGUACGCGUAAAAUCUUACCAGUUCUUGCAUAGCCAAUCCCUCUUAUUUAUUUAGAUAAAAGCUACUCACUACUCCCUCCUUUACUUUUUCCUUUGCUAUGCAGAAAUCUAAGCAAAGGUGGGAUGGUGGGAGAAGAUUUUUCUUUUAAAUUUAAGACUGGAUUGAGUGAUAAUUAUUUAUUAAUAAGUUUUUUUUCCCUUUUCUUGUUUCUUCUCUAUCUAUAUACACACCUUUGCUUUGGCCUCCAUCAUUCAGUAUUGGAGCAAAGGAAAGUAAAGGGUGAUAUAAAAGGAGGAGCAAAAAAUAGUGUAAUAAUAUUUAAUUUAUUUAUAUUAAUUUAUCCGUUUACAGGUGUUGCAUG